AGGGAGCCUGAGAAACGGCUACCACAUCCAAGGAAGGCAGCAGGCGCGCAAAUUACCCAAUCCAGACAUUGGGAGGUAGUGACGAGAAAUACUGGGGGCGCUCAUCGAGUGCCAUCCGGAAUGAACGUAACACAAAAAAUUCGAUGAGGAUCUACUGGAGGGCAAGUCUGGUGCCAGCAGCCGCGGUAAUUCCAGCUCCAGUAGUGUAUAUCAACAUUGUUGCGCUUGGAACGCUCGUAGUUGGAUUACAGGGUUCUAAACGGUGUACACCUUAAGGGUGUAUGUCGGGUGUGCAGAUCCAGUUGACCGGUGAAUGGCUGGGAGAUUGGUAGCGCACUGGAACCCUUUUAUCGCACUGGUUCUGUGUGUUGUCUUGAUUGGCAGCGUGCAGAAGCCGGUGGAGUGUGCCUUGAAUAAAGCAUAGUGCUCAAAGCAGGCGUACGCUCGUGUGUAAUAGCAUGGAACGAAUAGAGUUUGGCCGGGGCAGCGUAUGCAUCGGCAUUCAUGUCGGUGUGGCGUUGUCCGGACUCUGCUAGUGUUGGUUGGAGUACCGGUCUAGACGGUUAACAGGGACAUCUGAGGGCACUAGUACUUUGUGGCGAGAGGUGAAAUUCUUAGACCCACAAAAGACUGACUAUUGCGAAAGCAUUUGCCAAGAAUGUUUUCAUUAAUCAAGAACGAAGGUCAGAGGAUCGAAGACGAUCAGAUACCGUCCUAGUUUUGACAGCAAACUAUGCCAGCAUAGGGUUAGGGCGGUCGCCUGCCUGAUAAGGGCCGGUCGAACCACCUUGGGCCUUAGGGGAAACCUAGCUUUCGGGCUGCUGGGAGAAUAUCGCUGCAAGGCUGAAAUUUAAAGAAAUUGACGGAGAGGCACCACCAGGAGUGGAGCCUGCGGCUUAAUUUGACUCAACACGGGGAAACUCACCAGGUCCAGACAUUGGUAGGAUUGACAGACUGGUAGAUCUUUCAUGAUUCAGUGAAUGGUGGUGCAUGGCCGUUCUUAGUUGGUGGAGUGAUCUGUCAGGUCUAUUCCGGUAACGAGCGAGACCACGGCCUUUAGUUUACGCCGGCCAACACAACCGCCGAGCCGCAAGGCAAGGAGGGACUGUGGUUGGGCGUGCUAGAGGGACUAUUGGCGUCUUUAAGCCAGGGGAAGCGUGGCAAUAACAGGUCUGUGAUGCCCUUCGAUGUCCUGGGCUGCACGCGCGCUACAAUGGCAGCAGUAGAGAGUGGACUGGCCAGAGAUGGUCGGUGAAACUGCAAAUGGCUGUCGUGAUAGGGAUUGAGCCUUGUAAUUUUUGCUCAUGAAAGAGGAAUUCCUCGUAAGCACUAGUCAUCAGCUAGUGUUGAAUACGUCUCUGCCUCUUGUACACACCGCCCGUCGCUACUACCGAUUGAAUUGUUUCCAAAGCUGGUUGGACC
Molecule: ribosomal RNA, 1422 nt
Filed under: Ceratomyxa brayi
Lineage: Eukaryota; Metazoa; Cnidaria; Myxozoa; Bivalvulida; Ceratomyxidae
Description: bacterial SSU rRNA
Rfam family: Eukaryotic small subunit ribosomal RNA
Source: RNAcentral